GGAGACUCAACAAGAGGAAGGUGAAAUCCCAAUUUCUCCUUAUGCCUCAUUAUCAUCGAGCCUUGAUAAUUUCUUUGUGCCUCGCCCAUUUGUGACUAGUGUGGUCUCGUUGCUAAGUAAGGAUGAGAUUGAAGAGAUAACUAUGGUUUAUAGGAUACCAACCACUUUUAAAGCCUACUCGUGUGGUAGGGACCAAGCGACUAAUGGGUUGGUCUCAAAGAAAAAUUGUUUCAUAGUAUAUGUAGAGCAAUUGCGGUCUGGACUACGCUUCCCACUAGGCCCAUUUAUAGUGGUUGUCCUGAAGCUCUUUCGGGUUAGCAUUGCUUAGAUUCACCUAAACACUUGGUGAGUUCUAGUGUCUUUUCUCUCUUUGUAUUGCAUACAUAACAUAGAGCCUUAAGCCUGAGUUUUUACUUUGAGGUAUGCAUUGUCUCAUAGUGAAGCUGAAACCUUUUACUAUUUCCUCUCAAAGAAGGGGAGUAGCUUGCUUGUUUGACAGCUUUUCUGGGUCGAUAAAAAAAUUGAAAGUUGAUAUUUUUCAUGCUAAGGCAUCUUUCCGGUGGUAGUUGGGAUGGUUUUACUGAGAGUUGAUCCUUUCAAACUUAAUAGUUCAAAAGAAUGCUUCAAAUAAUUGGCUUAAAAGAAUCCUUUCAAACUUAAUAGUUCAAAAGAAUCCUUUCAAACUAUUGGCUUACACAAAGCUCUUGGCUGUUGUUUCAUUGAGGAGGAAGCAACCUUACUAACCAUUGUGCCAAAAAAUGGCCUUUUGAUAAAUUUUAUUGGUUUAUCGUCGAAGGAGACUGAUAAUGUUAUACCUCAACAUCUUUAUUUUUUUGACUUCUUAUCUAACUUAAUAAUUUCUUUUUUUAUUUGUAGAGAUGAUUGGAGAUAAUACAUCAUGGAUUAGGAAGGUGGUUGAAAAGAAGAGGAAAGGGGUUGGUGGAUUAGGAAGGUGGUUGAAAAGAGGAGGAAAGGGGUUGGUCAGGUUAACUACCAAAAGAGGUCGAGGUCCAUUGGAGGGACUUUAAACUCUUUCGUCAUUGCUCCUCAAGAUUCAUAAGAGCAUGCUUCUAUCGAGCUUGCUUCCUUUUCUAUUGAGAUGGGCCUCCUUCCACUGCCUUCUUCCCUUACUUUUGAUGGCCUAUUGAGGGUCACAACACGAUAGCAAGGAACUGCUACUUGGUUGAGCGCAUAACAAAGAAGAUUACUUUGCUUGAUGACUUCUUCUACCAUGGGAUGUCCUUGGGUGUAGAGGCCAUGACUGCAUUUAAGGUGGAAUGAGAGGUUUCCAAAAUUGUGGGGAUCGUUCAAUGAAUUGUAGAUAUAGAACAUCCUUCUUACCACUAAACUAGAGAACCUUCGUAGCAUUAACAAAAAUCUCGAGAUUGAGAUGGAGCAAAUUGAUCUUCAUUCUAAGCGAUUUUAGUAUUGAAUUCAUCUUAUUUUAUUGUUUUAUCUAUUUAUUUGUUCUAUUUUCUCAAAUUUCCUUUUAUAAGGAACUUUGAGAUACUUAGGAGCUCUACAUUUUAGAGGAAAACUAAGCCGGAACUAGAGAAAAUAAUACCCAACAACCCUAUGUAAUUCAACCUAAAUUACAUGGGAUGACCCAUGUAAUUAUAGCAACCCCGUGUAACUAAGAAACAUAUAUUAAAUUCGCUCAGAAGGUUAUGUGGGUCUAUUGGGAUUUACAUGGGCUAGACCCAUGCGAUUAAGACUGACCCGUGUACUGUUGGAAGAAGAAUCAAGAGAAUUCAGUACGUUACACAAGUCUACUGAGAAUUACACAGGUUCAACCCAUGUGAGCUGGGCAACCCGUGUAAAUUUAUAUGGUUUCAACCCAUGUAACGUGCUAGAUCUAUGUAUUUUAAUCCAAUUUACACGGGGUCCUACGAUUUCAAUAGAUUAAACUUGACCUAGCCAAUUUUAUUGCAUCCUAAUUGAACCAAAGGGUUUCUUAAGUUAUCUAGGAUUGAAACAAGAGCCACAAGUGUUAUAAAAGCCAAGGAUUUCAAUCAGAAAAGUAUUGUAAACUUGGAUACCACUAAGGAGAAACUGAACAAAAGGAGAAGAAGCCAUUAGUUCGUGAAGUAGAUUUUGUAGUAAAAAUCUGAGAAGAUCAUGCUGUCAGUUUAAUUGUGGAUCUAUUUGGUUCUAUUUUUCUUAUGUCUUAUUUUCUUAAUUUUAUUGUUCUUACAAUUAUGAACAUGAAUGAGUAAAUUUCUUUAUUCUAGGAUUUGGGAAGUAACACUUGGACUGUAUAGAUAUUUAAUUAGUUUUAUUCAAUAAAUUUGGAAUUAAUUAUUUGAUUCAA
Molecule: long non-coding RNA, 2311 nt
Filed under: Manihot esculenta (cassava)
Lineage: Eukaryota; Viridiplantae; Streptophyta; Magnoliopsida; Malpighiales; Euphorbiaceae
Description: long non-coding RNA (MESC_LNC005295)
Source: RNAcentral